This 77-nucleotide transfer RNA is filed under the name Peptoclostridium litorale DSM 5388. Its description in RNAcentral is "tRNA_His_GTG". It matches the Rfam family "tRNA". From Rfam's summary of the family: Transfer RNA (tRNA) molecules are approximately 80 nucleotides in length. Their secondary structure includes four short double-helical elements and three loops (D, anti-codon, and T loops). Lineage: Bacteria; Bacillati; Bacillota; Clostridia; Peptostreptococcales; Peptoclostridiaceae. The record is from RNAcentral.
GUGGGUAUAGCUCAGUCGGUUAGAGCGCCAGAUUGUGGCUCUGGAGGUCGUGGGUUCGAUUCCCAUUAUCCACCCCA